This is a long non-coding RNA of Salvia splendens (bonfire salvia), 1066 nucleotides long. RefSeq lists it as uncharacterized. The record is from RefSeq and is a predicted model, not a curated record. The transcript has 2 exons. Lineage: Eukaryota; Viridiplantae; Streptophyta; Magnoliopsida; Lamiales; Lamiaceae.
AACUAAAAUAAAAUAUCUCUAAUAAAAGAUUUAAUUAAAGAUUGUACAUAGAUUUUCCUGCUCCGUAAAAGAUUAUUCCUCCUCCGUAAGCUGCCAAUAAAAUACCAAAAACAAAUCAAAUUCCUAACUAAAAUCACGCUAAAAUAAAAAUAAGGGAUUUGAAAUUAUCCCCCAUAACCCACGAAAAACCGUCCCACACCUCUCCCCAAAUCUCUCCAACCUCUCCACCAAAUCUACCACUCCUCUAUAAUACAGAUUCACUCUUCGUUCCUUUCUUCCCAUCUCUGCAGCAAGCCUUCUUCUUCACAACUGCAAUUCAAGGACCGAACAAGAGGAUCAAGAAUCAUCCUCUCCAAAGCCUUGCAAAUUCUGAAACUUCAUCCAGUCACUGAUUGUUCAAGGUAUACACCCUCCCCAACCAAAUUCGUUUUGAAACUGCUGCAUCUUUACAUCAAAUCUGUAAAUUUACUUCAUAAAUCGGUGAAUCUACUUCUUAAACUAGUAAUCAAAAGAAAACUGGAAAAAAAUAUAAAAGGAGCGAACUUUAAUGAACUGGAAUCGAAUCUGAGAAACUUAACUUGCGGGGCUGAACGGGUUGUUUCUGGGAUGUCGUGAGGGCUGUUCGGAUGGAAACGGCACUGUUUCGGGGGGGGUUUCGGCUGCCGGCAGGCGCGGGAGCAACCAACGGCGCAGCGGCUGGAGCCGCGAGUCGACGGCGGCUGUACGACGACGGCAGCAGCUCCCGGCAGAGACGGCGGCAGCAGCUCCUCGCGGCGGCGGCGCGACGGCGGGCAGCGACAGUAGCGCUCCUCCCGGCUGGAUCGAACGACGGAACAGCAGCGACGGCAGGUGGAGGAACUUCUCCGAUUCGCCGAGAGAGAAAGAAGAAGGAAGAAGGCGUGGAGAGAGAAAGAGAAUAGGUAGAGGAAGAGAGAGAGUGUAGAUGAUGGAGUGUAGUUGGGCUCAUUUAGUUUUUCUUUCUUUGAAAUUGGGCCUCUUAACAAAAAAAAUGGUGUUUAUUAAUUGGGCUAAGGAGUAAAGUGCAUUAGUUGUUGGGCCAUUCUAA